Molecule: ribosomal RNA, 497 nt
Filed under: uncultured bacterium
Lineage: Bacteria
Description: partial 16S ribosomal RNA
Rfam family: Bacterial small subunit ribosomal RNA
Source: RNAcentral
GACGAACGCUGGCGGCGUGCCUAAUACAUGCAAGUUGAGCGCUGAAGGUUGGUACUUGUACCAACUGGAUGAGCAGCGAACGGGUGAGUAACGCGUGGGGAAUCUGCCUUUGAGCGGGGGACAACAUUUGGAAACGAAUGCUAAUACCGCAUAAAAACUUUAAACACAAGUUUUAAGUUUGAAAGAUGCAAUUGCAUCACUCAAAGAUGAUCCCGCGUUGUAUUAGCUAGUUGGUGAGGUAAAGGCUCACCAAGGCGAUGAUACAUAGCCGACCUGAGAGGGUGAUCGGCCACAUUGGGACUGGGACACGGCCCAAACUCCUACGGGAGGCAGCAGUAGGGAAUCUUCGGCAAUGGACGAAAGUCUGACCGAGCAACGCCGCGUGAGUGAAGAAGGUUUUCGGAUCGUAAAACUCUGUUGGUAGAGAAGAACGUUAGUGAGAGUGGAAAGCUCAUCAAGUGACGGUAACUACCCAGAAAGGGACGGCUAACUACGUG